This 617-nucleotide ribosomal RNA is filed under the name uncultured bacterium. Its description in RNAcentral is "bacterial SSU rRNA". It matches the Rfam family "Bacterial small subunit ribosomal RNA", at positions 8 to 615 of the family's 1533-position model. The record is from RNAcentral.
AGAGUUUGAUCCUGGCUCAGAUUGAACGUUGGCGGCAGGCUUAACACAUGCAAGUCGAGCGGUAACAGUGGGAGCUUGCUCCCAGCUGACGAGCGGCGGACGGGUGAGUAACGCGUAGGAAUCUACCUAGUAGUGGGGGACAACCCGAGGAAACUCGGGCUAAUACCGCAUACGCUCUUAGGAGGAAAGCGGGGGAUCUUCGGACCUCGCGCUAUUAGAGGAGCCUGCGUCGGAUUAGCUAGUUGGUGAGGUAAAGGCUCACCAAGGCAACGAUCCGUAGCUGGUCUGAGAGGACGACCAGCCACACUGGAACUGAGACACGGUCCAGACUCCUACGGGAGGCAGCAGCGGGGAAUCUUGGACAAUGGGCGCAAGCCUGAUCCAGCCAUGCCGCGUGUGUGAAGAAGGCCUUAGGGUUGUAAAGCACUUUCAGUGGUGAAGAAAUGCUCAGGGUUAAUAACCCUCGAGUCUUGACGUUAACCACAGAAGAAGCACCGGCUAACUCCGUGCCAGCAGCCGCGGUAAUACGGAGGGUGCGAACGUUAAUCGGAAUUACUGGGCGUAAAGCGCACGUAGGCGGUUUGUUAAGUGGGAUGUGAAAGCCCCGGGCUCAACCU